This is a long non-coding RNA of Zonotrichia leucophrys gambelii, 438 nucleotides long. RefSeq lists it as uncharacterized. The transcript has 3 exons. NCBI's taxonomy places the organism in Eukaryota, Metazoa, Chordata, Aves, Passeriformes, Passerellidae. The record is from RefSeq and is a predicted model, not a curated record.
CAGGAACACCCUAUUCAUUCCCUGCCUGCUGCUUAUCCUGCUCUGGAAUGGGUCUCCUGCAGCUGGGAGGGCUCAGCCUCAGGAGGAGCUUCCUGCUCUCCACAGCUCCCUGAGCAGAGCCUGGAGCCAGGUGGAGGUUGUUCUUUUCUCCCAGGCUUUGCUGAUAAAUGCUGUCUCCGUGUUCCCGGCCGUGAUGGACUCGUUAUCAGGCACUGCCCGGCGAGGAAGCGACCUGUGACCCCGCCCGGGGACACGGGGUGAGCCCGAGGGAGCCGCCCUUAUCGGCCCUGGGGAAAAGCUUCCCUUUUAAAAGCUUCCCAUAGCACAGGAGCCUCGGCCGAGCCCCAACAGCCACGGGGAGGAGGAGGAAGACAGGGAUCCCACCCGCGUUAUCAGAGGGAUGAGAUAAGAGCGGCCGCAGGGAAGGUGACACGGGAC